Molecule: non-coding RNA, 117 nt
Filed under: Chlorocebus sabaeus (green monkey)
Lineage: Eukaryota; Metazoa; Chordata; Mammalia; Primates; Cercopithecidae
Source: Rfam by way of RNAcentral
GCCGGGCACGGUGGCUCAUGCCUGUAAUCCCAGCACUUUGGGAGGCUGAGGCGGGUGGAUCACCUGAGGUCAGGAGUUUGAGACCAGCCUGGCCAACAUGGUGAAACCCCGUCUCUA